RNAcentral lists this ribosomal RNA (1251 nucleotides) under Triticum aestivum (bread wheat). RNAcentral describes it as "partial small subunit ribosomal RNA". The record is from RNAcentral. Lineage: Eukaryota; Viridiplantae; Streptophyta; Magnoliopsida; Poales; Poaceae.
AUGAUUCUAUGGAGAAACAGUUGGUGGUGCUGGUCCACCGCCCUACUAUUCUCACCACCUUCAAUCUGGUUAGCACCAAUCUUCUCUGCUUGCCUCCGUUGCAGUCUUGCAGAGCACCAAAAGGAAAAGGUAUGUUGCCCAUGGUUGGGACUUGGGAGGCUGAAGGUUGAUGCUGCCAAUAAAUAUGGAGGCAGCUACGAUUGCUGGUGGUUUCAUGGCGAGUUUUGCUUGUUUUGGAGUUUGGGACUUGGGAGGCUGAAGCUUCAAGCCAAGGCCGGCGUCAUGGACCCUGGCUCCGACAUCAUCGAGUACGAGAGGCCCGGCGUCGUGCGCGUGUACAAGAGCGGCCGCGUCGAGCGCUUCGACGGCACCGACACCAACACCGUCCCGCCCUGCCCCUCCGGGGACCCCGCCUAUGGCGUCGCCUCCAAGGACGUCGUCCUCGACGCCUCCGCCAACAUCUCCGCUCGCCUGUACAUUCCGGCCGCGGAGCCUGGCAAGAAGCUCCCCGUCGUCGUUUACUUCCACGGCGGCGGUUUCCUUGUCCAAACCCCGGCCUCCCCGUUCUACCACGCCUACACCGCGUCGCUCGCCGCCGCGGCGCCCGCCGUCGUCGUCUCCGUCAACUACCGCCUCGCUCCCGAGGACCGCCUCCCCGCCGCCUACGACGACGCCUUCGCCGCGCUUAAGGCGGUCGUCGCCUCGUGCCGCCCGGACGGCGUCGAGCCGUGGCUCGCGGCGCAUGGCGACGCCUCCCGCGUCGUCCUCGCCGGCGACAGCGCCGGCGGCAACAUCGCGCACAACACGGCCAUAAGGCUGCGGAAGGAACGCAUCGAGGGCUACGGCGACGGUGUCAGCGGCGUCGCGCUCCUGCACUCCUACUUCUGGGGGACAGAGCAGGUGGGCGGGGAGCCCACGGAUGCCGCCUACCGCGGCGAGUUUGAGCGAUUGUGGGACGUCGCCUGCGGCAGCCAGUUCGGCCCCGACCACCCUUACAUCAACCCGGCUACGUCGCCGGGGGAGUGGAGCCAGCUCGGGUGCGGCCGCGUGCUCGUCACCACGGCGGAGCUCUGCUGGUUCGUGGACAGGGCGCGCGCGUACGCGGAGGGGAUCAAGGCGUGCGGAUGGGACGGAGAGGUCGAGUUCCACGAGACCAAGGGCGAGGAGCAUGUCUACUUCUUGUUUAAGUCCGGCUGCGACAAUGCCGUCAAGGAGCUCGCCGUCGUGGCCGACUUCGUCGGGCGCUGUUGA